GUGCCCCUUUAAGGUUGGUGCUGUAUUUAAAAGGCUAACACACAAGGGUAAAGGAACUCUCUAUAAAACCCAGGUAGGAGACUGUAUGCUUCCUCUUUGGAUCCCGUGUAGGAGAAAAAAAA
Molecule: small nucleolar RNA, 122 nt
Organism: Grammomys surdaster
Lineage: Eukaryota; Metazoa; Chordata; Mammalia; Rodentia; Muridae
Product: small nucleolar RNA SNORA26
Exons: 1
Source: RefSeq, a predicted model, not a curated record